RNAcentral lists this ribosomal RNA (1444 nucleotides) under metagenome. Its description in RNAcentral is "bacterial SSU rRNA". It matches the Rfam family "Bacterial small subunit ribosomal RNA". The record is from RNAcentral.
AGAGUUUGAUCCCGGCUCAGAAUCAACGCUGGCGGCGCGCUUAACACAUGCAAGUCGCACGAGAAAGUGGAGCAAUCCAUGAGUACAGUGGCGUACGGGUGAGUAACACGUGGAUCAUCUACCUUUUAGUGGGGAAUACCUCCGGGAAACUGGAGACAAUACCGCAUAAGCUCGUAAGAGGAAAGCCGCAAGGCGCUGAAAGAGGAGUCCGCGGUCGAUUAGCUGGAUGGCGGGGUAAUGGCCCACCAUGGCGAAGAUCGAUAGCCGGCCUGAGAGGGCACACGGCCACACUGGCACUGAAACACGGGCCAGACUCCUACGGGAGGCAGCAGUGGGGAAUCUUGCACAAUGGAGGAAACUCUGAUGCAGCGACGCCGCGUGAGUGAUGAAGCCCUUCGGGGUGUAAAGCUCUUUCGACGGGAACGAUAAUGACGGUACCCGAAGAAGAAGCUGCGGCUAACUACGUGCCAGCAGCCGCGGUAAUACGUAGGCAGCGAGCGUUGUUCGGAAUUACUGGGCGUAAAGAGUGUGUAGGCGGUGCUCUAAGUCUGUCGUGAAAUCUCCCGGCUUAACUGGGAGGGUGCGGCGGAAACUGGUGUGCUCGAGGGUGGGAGAGGUAAGCGGAAUUCCUGGUGUAGCGGUGAAAUGCGUAGAUAUCAGGAGGAACACCUGCGGUGUAGACAGCUUACUGGACCACUUCUGACGCUGAGACACGAAAGCGUGGGUAGCAAACAGGAUUAGAUACCCUGGUAGUCCACGCCCUAAACGAUGCAUACUUGGUGUGAGCCAUUCAGUUGGUUCGUGCCGGAGCUAACGCGUUAAGUAUGCCGCCUGGGGAGUACGGUCGCAAGGCUGAAACUCAAAGGAAUUGAAGGGGGGCCCGCACAAGCGGUGGAGCAUGUGGUUCAAUUCGACGCAACGCGAAGAACCUUACCUGGGCUCGAACGGCUAUGGACAAUCCUUGGAAACAGGGACUUCUCGCAAGAGACUGUAGUCGAGGUGCUGCAUGGCUGUCGUCAGCUCGUGUCGUGAGAUGUUGGGUUAAGUCCCGCAACGAGCGCAACCCUUGUCCUGUGUUGCCAUCAUUAAGUUGGGCACUCUCAGGAGACCGCCAGCGAUAAGUUGGAGGAAGGUGGGGAUGAUGUCAAGUCAUCAUGGCCUUUAUGUCCAGGGCUACACACGUGCUACAAUGGGCGGUACAAAGCGCUGCAAACCCGCGAGGGGGAGCCAAUCGCAAAAAACCGUCCUCAGUUCGGAUCGCAGGCUGCAACUCGCCUGCGUGAAGCUGGAAUCGCUAGUAAUGCCGCAUCAGAACGAUGGCGUGAAUACGUUCCCGGGCCUUGUACACACCGCCCGUCACAUCACGAAAGUGGAUUGUACUAGAAGUCUUAAUCAAACAAGCCCAAGGUAUGAUUCAUGAUUGGGGUGAAGUCGUAACAAGGUA